UGUGUGUGUGUGUGUGUGUGUGUGUGCACUCGAGUGUGUGAGAGGGUGCAUGCAUGAGUGUGUAUGUGUGAGUGUAUGUGUGCAUGCAUGUGUGUGCGUGUGUGUGAGGGUGCAUGCAUGCAUGUGUGCACGUGUGUGUAUGCGUGUGUAUGAGGGUUAUGCAUGAGUGUGAGUGUAUGUGUACAUGCAUGUGUGCAUGUGUGUGAGGGUGCAUGCAUGCAUGCGUGUGCGUGAGGGUGCAUGCAUGUGUAUGUGUGUGUGUGUGCAUGCAUGCGUGUGUUGUUUGAGAAUUUUGUUCAACACAUUUUGAUUCUGUUCAUCUUUCCUUCCCCAACUCUUCCCAAAUCCAUCCCCCUUCCAUCCCACACAACUUGGAGCUUUUUAAAGCCACCGAGACCAAUUUGUUUUGCCCCAAUAUUCUUCAACGCAUGGCCUUCCCCUGCCCCGAUGCAGCCAACUUAGCCAGGGCUACCCUCUUCCUCUCCCAGCAGCUAACGACCGCCAGGAGCUGCCUGGCUGGGGUGGAAUCUCAUGCGCGACUCAGAUGAAGCUGAGAGCUAAGCAGGUUCCCCUUCCUCCUCCACCAUGGGAUGGAUUAAGAUCAGGCCAUGUUGGGGUUGGGGAUUUAGCUCAGUGGUAGAGCGCUUGCCUAGAAAGCGCAAGGUCCUGGGUUCGAUCCCCAGCUCCGAAAAAAAGAAAAAG
Molecule: long non-coding RNA, 702 nt
Filed under: Rattus norvegicus (Norway rat)
Lineage: Eukaryota; Metazoa; Chordata; Mammalia; Rodentia; Muridae
Description: long non-coding RNA NONRATT012222
Rfam family: tRNA (bases 620-688)
Source: RNAcentral